RNAcentral lists this ribosomal RNA (437 nucleotides) under uncultured Clostridium sp. Its description in RNAcentral is "partial 16S ribosomal RNA". It matches the Rfam family "Bacterial small subunit ribosomal RNA", at positions 341 to 792 of the family's 1533-position model. Lineage: Bacteria; Bacillati; Bacillota; Clostridia; Eubacteriales; Clostridiaceae. The record is from RNAcentral.
ACGGGAGGCAGCAGUGGGGAAUAUUGCACAAUGGGGGAAACCCUGAUGCAGCGACGCCGCGUGAGUGAAGAAGUAUCUCGGUAUGUAAAGCUCUAUCAGCAGGGAAGAAAACAAUGACGGUACCUGACUAAGAAGCCCCGGCUAACUACGUGCCAGCAGCCGCGGUAAUACGUAGGGAGCGAACGUUGUCCGGAUUUACUGGGUGUAAAGGGUGCGUAGGCGGGCUUGCAAGUCAGGCGUGAAAUACCGGGGCUUAACUCCGGGGCUGCGCUUGAAACUGUAAGUCUUGAGUGAAGUAGAGGCAGGCGGAAUUCCCAGUGUAGCGGUGAAAUGCGUAGAUAUUGGGAGGAACACCAGUGGCGAAGGCGGCCUGCUGGGCUUUAACCGACGCUGAGGCACGAAAGUAUGGGGAGCAAACAGGAUUAGAUACCCUGGUA